Molecule: ribosomal RNA, 790 nt
Filed under: uncultured archaeon
Lineage: Archaea
Description: 16S ribosomal RNA
Source: RNAcentral
GUGCUCCCCCGCCAAUUCCCUUAAGUUUCAAUCUUGCGAUCGUACUCCCCAGGCGGCCCAUUUAACACCUUCGCUACGGCACCGCAGAACCGCGAAGGUUCCGCGACACCAAAUGGGCAUCGUUUACAGCGUAGACUACCGGGGUAUCUAAUCCCGAUCGCUCCCUACGCUUUCGCCCCUCACUGUCAGACCCGUUCCAGAUGGGCGCCUUCGCCACAGGUAGUCCUGUAUGGAUUAAAGGAUUUUACCCCUACCCGUACAGUACUCCCAUCCUCUCCCGGUCUCAAGCUCGAUAGGAUCUCUAGCACUUUCGACAGUUUGCUGCCGAAUUUCACCAGAGACACACCAAGCCAGCUACGGGCGCUUUAGGCCCAAUAAACGUGACUACCCCUCGUGGCGCGGUUAUUACCGCGGCGGCUGGCAACCGUCUUACCCACCACUUAUUCCUCCACCUUUUUACAGUGAAGAAAAGGCACCGCAAUGCGAUGCCACUCAGGAUUCCCUCGUCAGACUUUCAUCCAUUGCGAAGUUUUCUCGCCUGCUGCGCCCCGUAGGGCCUGGCUUCAUGUCUCAGAAGCCAUCUCCGGGCUAUCGCUCUCACGACCCGUACGGAUUACUGGCUUGUUGAGCAAUUACCUCAACAACGACCUAAUCCGCCGCAGUCCCAUCCUUGGGUACAUUGCUGCUUUCGGUGAAAGUGCGUUCCAGCAUCCAUCACCUAUCGGAUAUUAUGCUCAGUUUCCCAAGAUUAUUUCCGUCCUAAGGGCAGGUUAACUACGUGUUACUGAGC